AGGAGGAAAUCCUAUGUGUCUGCUCCCAGAGCUGCCACAACCCAUCUUCCCACAACUCGGAACUUGGAAAAAGGAACCCAGGACACGACUUUGCUUUUCUUUUGGACCUAGUUGAUACAAGUUAACAGGAUAUGCUUCUGGCGUGUUUCUGGAUUCUAAGGGUAGAACCAGCAUGAAACUAGUCAGUCCAAGUAUUUCUAAAGAUCCACAGACACAGUUCUCCUAGAUUUGGGAAGCCUAGAGAUAUUAGCACAAUAAUUAUGGCCCAAAGGCAGCACAUAAGAGAGGGAAAGCCAUGCGCGUGGAGUCCAGCACAUCACCCAGAAGGCAGAUGUUCUAUCUCCAUUUUACUCAUUAAAACAAACAAAACCACACCUGGAUUGCCUGCAACUUUUAAAAGCAUUUCCAUUGCACAGUGAAAGAAAACCACAAACUCCUUGUUUAAUAACUCGGAUCAUGUGCUUUUAACGAGAGGAAAAGGUCAAGUCUGAAGCAACUGAUAUGGAACUGCCAGAGUAGGAGUUGAAAAUAUUCCUAAACUGCUGGAGGAUACACCUCUGAUAGCUUGAGACAAAUAUCCUCUUGAUUAUUGUUUCACCAUAUUUGUCUUUGCUCACAGAGAACCAUUUUGACCUGUGGUUUAGCCUCCCAGGUGAUUGAACAAUAG
Molecule: long non-coding RNA, 667 nt
Filed under: Pongo abelii (Sumatran orangutan)
Lineage: Eukaryota; Metazoa; Chordata; Mammalia; Primates; Hominidae
Description: lincRNA
Source: RNAcentral